Odocoileus virginianus texanus is the source of this 1468-nucleotide non-coding RNA. Lineage: Eukaryota; Metazoa; Chordata; Mammalia; Artiodactyla; Cervidae. The record is from RefSeq and is a predicted model, not a curated record.
AAAAGAAGGUCAUGAUGGUUUCUACUACAUCCCAGCUGACUUGAAGGGGUUCAGCCUACGUGGGGGAUUAUAGCCCACACUAUUCCCAGGAGUGUCCUGGAAAAGUACAAGCCAUUAUUUACAAGGCAGCAGGAUGCCGGCUUCCUCUGACAUCGCUUGUGGCUGGGCUGCCGCCGCUGCAUCCAUUUCUGAAAAUGCCUCCGAUAAUGUGGCCGGCCCGCCAGGCCCAUGCAGCUGAAUGAUAUGAUUGGAGAAGAUGCCAUAUCUCUUGCCUCCAGAAGCAAAGGAGCAGUGAGGGCGCUGAAGACCUUGUGUGAUGUAAACCCAGGUCCGGCCUAUCCUCUUCCCCCUCUCUCUGUUUAUCUGUUUCUAAAGAAGGCUGCAUCCACGGCGAUGGGGGUGGGCAUUGUGCACAGAUCUAUGAAAACACCCGGGCCGCCUUCUUGCUGCCAUCCCUGUGUGCUGGCCGCCAGGCUGGGAGGCACUGGGACGUGUGGGCCGCAGCUGCCCUGAGAUAAAGUGCUGCCAGCUGCCCACAGCAGCCAAAGAGUCAUCAGCCCUGAUAUCCCACCCAGAGCUCAGCCCCCCUUGCCACCUGCUCCAGAGUGAAUGUUCAAGAACCAGCUUGCUCCCCUCCUAGGCCCUGGGUACCCCCCACCCACUGCAUGGCAGAACAGGGAUGUCUAAUGCUCUCUCUCUAUGUGCCAGGCCAGGCUCUUCAUGGUUGUACUGUUUAACCCAAAGGGUAGAAUUUGGCCUCCUCCCAUUUUACAAGCAUGAGUGUUUCCUUGCCCAAGGUCACCCAGCUGGUGUUGGGCAGACCUGGGGCCGCGUCCCUCCUCUGCCCGCCUGUGCUGAGCACUUGACUUGAUGUUUUUAGGCCCACUCUCCCCGCAUGUACACAGGGGCUGCUCUGCUGACCGCCCUCUGGGCUGGGCUCCUCCCAGGGCUGGCCCUGCUUCCCAAGACAAGUUGAAGGCUUUCACUGACCUUCGGGUGGGCACCCCCUUCUCCUGGCCCCUCUAUGGGAAGGGCACAGAGAGGUCAUGAUGGUUUGUCUCUAGGUCCUAACGCUCCGGUUCCUGCAGUUGUGGCCUCUCUUGGUGUUCUGGGAGGGGGGAUGGGGCCGGUAGGCAGGAGGCCAGUCCUUAGAAGGCAGACCCCCAAACCACCAAUGGGAAAGCCCAUGAUCCCUCUGGACAGCACCGCAGGGUUGACAAAGCAUGGCCACACAGCCUCCCACUCACUGGAUAUUCCUCAUCUGCCAUGUCUGACGUCCCUGAGGUCCCUGCCUCAUCUGAGGCUGCCAGGAGGUAUGGUCACACCCGAAUGCCCAGGUGAGGCCAUGGAAGCCAGACAAGGAGCCCACUGCCCCCUGCCCAGCAACGAGAGUGCCUCUCUCCCAUCGUUGUGUGAGGGUGAGGGCUGCGGCCUCUCAGAUGUCUGAGGUCAUCUAAUUCCACCCCCU